UACGUAGGGGUGCAAGCGUUGUCCGGAAUUAUUGGGCGUAAAGAGCUCGUAGGCGGUUUGUCGCGUCUGCUGUGAAAAACCCGAGGCUCAACCUCGGGCCUGCAGUGGGUACGGGGCAGACUAGAGUGCGGUAGGGGGAGAUUGGAAUUCCUGGUGUAGCGGUGGAAUGCGCAGAUAUCAGGAGGAACACCAAUGGCGAAGGAGAUCUCUGGGCCGUAACUGACGCUGAGGAGCGAAAGCAUGGGGAGCGAACAGG
This 256-nucleotide ribosomal RNA is filed under the name uncultured bacterium. RNAcentral's name for it is "partial 16S ribosomal RNA". It matches the Rfam family "Bacterial small subunit ribosomal RNA", at positions 524 to 776 of the family's 1533-position model. The record is from RNAcentral.